This 1071-nucleotide ribosomal RNA is filed under the name Paenarthrobacter nicotinovorans. RNAcentral describes it as "bacterial SSU rRNA". It matches the Rfam family "Bacterial small subunit ribosomal RNA", at positions 56 to 1144 of the family's 1533-position model. Lineage: Bacteria; Bacillati; Actinomycetota; Actinomycetes; Micrococcales; Micrococcaceae. The record is from RNAcentral.
UGCAGUCGACGAUGAUCCCGCUUGCUGGGGGAUUAGUGGCGAACGGGUGAGUAACACGUGAGUAACCUGCCCUUGACUCUGGGAUAAGCCUGGGAAACUGGGUCUAAUACCGGAUAUGACUCCUCAUCGCAUGGUGGGGGGUGGAAAGCUUUUGUGGUUUUGGAUGGACUCGCGGCCUAUCAGCUUGUUGGUGGGGUAAUGGCCUACCAAGGCGACGACGGGUAGCCGGCCUGAGAGGGUGACCGGCCACACUGGGACUGAGACACGGCCCAGACUCCUACGGGAGGCAGCAGUGGGGAAUAUUGCACAAUGGGCGCAAGCCUGAUGCAGCGACGCCGCGUGAGGGAUGACGGCCUUCGGGUUGUAAACCUCUUUCAGUAGGGAAGAAGCGAAAGUGACGGUACCUGCAGAAGAAGCGCCGGCUAACUACGUGCCAGCAGCCGCGGUAAUACGUAGGGCGCAAGCGUUAUCCGGAAUUAUUGGGCGUAAAGAGCUCGUAGGCGGUUUGUCGCGUCUGCUGUGAAAGACCGGGGCUCAACUCCGGUUCUGCAGUGGGUACGGGCAGACUAGAGUGCAGUAGGGGAGACUGGAAUUCCUGGUGUAGCGGUGAAAUGCGCAGAUAUCAGGAGGAACACCGAUGGCGAAGGCAGGUCUCUGGGCUGUAACUGACGCUGAGGAGCGAAAGCAUGGGGAGCGAACAGGAUUAGAUACCCUGGUAGUCCAUGCCGUAAACGUUGGGCACUAGGUGUGGGGGACAUUCCACGUUUUCCGCGCCGUAGCUAACGCAUUAAGUGCCCCGCCUGGGGAGUACGGCCGCAAGGCUAAAACUCAAAGGAAUUGACGGGGGCCCGCACAAGCGGCGGAGCAUGCGGAUUAAUUCGAUGCAACGCGAAGAACCUUACCAAGGCUUGACAUGAACCGGUAAUACCUGGAAACAGGUGCCCCGCUUGCGGUCGGUUUACAGGUGGUGCAUGGUUGUCGUCAGCUCGUGUCGUGAGAUGUUGGGUUAAGUCCCGCAACGAGCGCAACCCUCGUUCUAUGUUGCCAGCGCGUUAUGGCGGGGACUCAUAA